RNAcentral lists this long non-coding RNA (659 nucleotides) under Meriones unguiculatus (Mongolian gerbil). Its description in RNAcentral is "lncRNA (ENSMUGG00000012939.1)". The record is from RNAcentral. Lineage: Eukaryota; Metazoa; Chordata; Mammalia; Rodentia; Muridae.
CGUACCUGCCCUGAGCGCUCGGCCGAGCGCCCGGCAGGCUGCAGCGCUAGCCCUUCCUCGCGUGCUCCGCCCUGGUCCCCGGUGGCCCACGCGGGGGCACCCAGCGCAGCCUGGCAUCCGCUGGCGGGCGGGCCCCACGCGGCUCCUCCUCGCAGCGUGCGGAACUGCCCCGCGUGCCGCCCCCACUCCAGCCCCGGGAAGCCCCGAUUGCGGGCGGAGCGCGAGCCACCGCGGCGGGUGGAGCCUGCGGCCGCCGGAUCCCAGGGCCAAUCGCGCGGUGGCAGGGGAGGAGCCCCGGAGGGGGAAAAAGAAAGUGCGGCGGAAAGUAAGAGGCGAGUCGAGGAAGGCUGCUGGGAUCUGGGUCUCCUGGGCUCGGCUUGGACCAGGGCGCGGAAAGAGGCAGUGGCCGGCCACCCUGCACCCAUCCCGUCAUUGUCGCCGAGUCUGCUCGGCUGGCCCAGGAAGGAUGGGAUUUCUGUGGUUGAUGAGUCUGUGCUUCUUUGGGAUCCUGCAGAGUCAUGCCUCAGGAUAUUUUGACAUCCAUGGUUUGAUUUUAAGUGCCUCUUCAGAAUUUCUCACUGUUCCUCAAAAUAAAGGAAGAUGAAAGAGGAGAGAGGGAGGAGAAUAAAGAAGAAAGAGAAACAAAGGAGUGAGGAGAA